This 681-nucleotide long non-coding RNA is filed under the name Homo sapiens (human). Its description in RNAcentral is "long non-coding RNA NONHSAT159407.1". The record is from RNAcentral. Lineage: Eukaryota; Metazoa; Chordata; Mammalia; Primates; Hominidae.
ACCAGGGAGUGAUAAAAGGCCAGCAACUACCUAGCGACAGAAGGAGGAAACACACCAGACCAGAACUAAAGCGGAUAGCGGUUAGAAACGCCCAGUAAGGGUGCCAGAAACCACUUUCAGGAAGAGGGAAGACAGCACUUGAAAGGAAAGAGGGUAAAGAAGAGGAAGGGAGGUUACAAUUGAGAGCACUGCAGAAGGAAGCGAUGCAGAUGUUGCCGCCCGGCUCUGGCAGUCCGAAGGAGCAACCCCACGCAUAGGGAUGGGGUUUCACCACGUUGGCCAGGCUCGUCUCAAACUCCCGACCUCAAGUGAUACGCUCGCCUUGGCCUCCCGUGGUGUUGGGAUUAUAGGCGUAAGCCACUGCACCCGGCCUGAAAUACUACCUUUAUUAUACAGCUAGUUCUAACACAUCUUGGUCUUUUUCUAGGUUCUUUGUUUUAUUACUUAUUUAGCUAUCUCUGCACCAAUACCACAUUGCUUCACAUAUUACGAAAAAACAGAUUCUACUUGGUUCUAGCUGAAGUAUUAUCAACUCCAAAUAACGCUUUGAGGACCUCCAAAGGUGCUUUCCUUUGCCUGCAAGAGGUGUCAAGAUGAGUUUUGCCUGACUUCUUUGAUGUCCUGAACUUUCUGUAGUCCUUUUUUUUCUUCAAUUUGUUCAUUAUAAAUUUAGCUUAGCAU